CAGAGGAGGGGGGUUGGGGGCGGUAGGGGUGAGGCCCAGUCCAUGAGGGAGACCCCUGCCACUUUAAUGCAUUUAUUCAUCCCUGUAUGUUUCCUCCGUUGAACGUGAGCCCCAGGACCCCAGAACAUCUCACCCAUUUCUGCAUCCCCACACCCCAGCCUUGCCCAGUGAGUGGCGUGGGUCCCUGCUUAAUAAAGUUUGUGGGUGAGUGAAGGACUUUACAUACCAUCCCCCCUGCUCUUACUAUGAAGGGAGGAUCUGAAGUGAACGCCCCCUACCUUGCCUCUGAUCCCUGCUUCGCCCACUCCUUCUCUCCCCAAAGGUCUAUUGAACAUCAACUAUCUUUAACCAAACCUAGGGGGUGUUCGGGUGCUGGGCAUGUCAAGGUGACUUAGGAAUAGCCCAUAUUCCAAGACCCGUAGUCUGGGGCAGUAGACAAAUGUCAACAGAUUUUACCACGCAGUGUGGAGGGCUGUAGUAGGAGGAGUAGUAGUAGGAAUUAUUAUUAUUAUAAUUUUUGAACACUUAUUGUGUUUCAGACACCAUGCUGAGUACUUUACAUACAUUAUCAUUUAAACUUUGACACAACCCACUGUCACAUGUACUAUUAUUCUUUCGGUUUUUACAGAUGAAACAUCAAAUAAUUUGUCUAAUUAUUGCACCUGCUCUGGUGAGUGGUGGAGCCAGGAUUCGAACCCAGAGUAGGACGGGGGCUAUAUAAGCAAAUAUUCUACUCUCCCUUGAAAACUGGAUCCUGUAUAAGCUGCCAUCAUCUGCUGUACAUUUUCUUGCCGACUCUCGAACCAAGAGGACGGAGCCUCACUCAGCACACCGAGAACACGCAGGAACCAGAACAACAACAGGGGAGCUCACGGUUCCAGGAAGCCCCCGGAGCUCCCUGGUUUCUCCUUUCGGGCUCCCCUACUGCGAUGACUCUGGAAAUCUCCCUACAAUGGAACCCGCCAACCAUCCUACUUCCGAGACCACCUGUUUUAGGAUAUCUACAAUAACAUAUGGAUUUUAA
Equus caballus (horse) is the source of this 1024-nucleotide non-coding RNA. NCBI's taxonomy places the organism in Eukaryota, Metazoa, Chordata, Mammalia, Perissodactyla, Equidae. The record is from RefSeq and is a predicted model, not a curated record.